GCACAAACCAAGUGAAAAAAGGGAAAAAGCAGCUUUUGUCACAGCUUACUUACUUAGAAAGUCUUGGUUGUGAAGCAGUUGUUUUAUUCUUGGAGCCUGGUGAUUCUUGUCUUCAACAGUUUGGAACAGAAAAAGGAAUCAA
Long non-coding RNA from Xenia sp. Carnegie-2017, 142 nucleotides. RefSeq lists it as uncharacterized. The transcript has 2 exons. The record is from RefSeq and is a predicted model, not a curated record. NCBI's taxonomy places the organism in Eukaryota, Metazoa, Cnidaria, Anthozoa, Malacalcyonacea, Xeniidae.